UCCCCCGCUCAAAUUCAUAAUCUUUCGAUUCUGAACUUAAGCGGGGGCAGUUUCGCGUGACACGUAUAACACGCAAUAGGGGUUGCGCUCGUUACCCCACUUAAGGGAACACUUCAAAGCACGAGCUGACGACAACCAUGCAGCACCUGUACUAGAUGUCCUUGAGAGAAGGCCGACGUUUCCGCCAGCUGUCAUCUAGAAUUUCAAGCCCUGGUAAGGUUCUUCGCUUACUAUCGAAUUAAACCUCAUGUUCCACCGCUUGUGCGAGUCCCCGUCUAUUCCUUUGAGUUUUAAGCUUGCGCUCGUACUUCCCAGGCGGCCUGUUUAACGCGUUAGCUCCGCCGCUCCGAGGGUCGAUACUCGAAACAGCAAACAGGCAUCGUUUAGGGCGUGGACUA
This 398-nucleotide unclassified non-coding RNA is filed under the name uncultured bacterium. Its description in RNAcentral is "contains 16S-23S intergenic spacer region". The record is from RNAcentral.